Molecule: unclassified non-coding RNA, 287 nt
Filed under: Hevea brasiliensis (rubber tree)
Lineage: Eukaryota; Viridiplantae; Streptophyta; Magnoliopsida; Malpighiales; Euphorbiaceae
Source: RNAcentral
UCUUCUUGGGCAACUUUAUCUUUAUCUUCGUGGGCAACUUCAUCCUUGUCCCGAUUCUUUUCAAUGAAAUCAAUGAUAUCUUCUUUGGUCCUAUCCCCUUCAUAUUGCACCAACUGUCCACUUGCUGACCUGAAGUACACAGUGGGGUAUCCCUUAACGUCGAAAGCAUCGUUUGGGAUAUCAUUUGCAGUUGCAUCAAGCUUUGCAAUAACAACAUCAGGAUCACUCUGGUAUGAAAUGGCAACUUCAUCCAAGAUUGGAGCCAAUUUUUUGCAGUGUCCACACCA